This 301-nucleotide ribosomal RNA is filed under the name uncultured bacterium. RNAcentral's name for it is "partial 16S ribosomal RNA". It matches the Rfam family "Bacterial small subunit ribosomal RNA", at positions 509 to 807 of the family's 1533-position model. The record is from RNAcentral.
CAGUAGCUGCGGUAAAACGUAGGUGGCAAGCGUUGUCCGGAAUUAUUGGGCGUAAAGGGCUCGCAGGCGGUUUCUUAAGUCUGAUGUGAAAGCCCCCGGCUCAACCGGGGAGGGUCAUUGGAAACUGGGAAACUUGAGUGCAGAAGAGGAGAGUGGAAUUCCACGUGUAGCGGUGAAAUGCGUAGAGAUGUGGAGGAACACCAGUGGCGAAGGCGACUCUCUGGUCUGUAACUGACGCUGAGGAGCGAAAGCGUGGGGAGCGAACAGGAUUAGAUACCCCUGUAGUCCCUGUCUCUUAUAC